CUAUGCUGUAAACGGUGGGCGCUAGGUGUGGGGACCUUCCACGGUUUCUGUGCCGUAGCUAACGCUUUAAGCGCCCCGCCUGGGGAGUACGGCCGCAAGGCUAAAACUCAAAGGAAUUGACGGGGACCCGCACAAGCAGUGGAGUAUGUGGUUUAAUUCGACGCAACGCGAAGAACCUUACCAGGGCUUGACAUCCUCUGACACUUUUAGAGAUAGAAGGUUCCCUUCGGGGACAGAGAGACAGGUGGUGCAUGGUUGU
RNAcentral lists this ribosomal RNA (259 nucleotides) under uncultured bacterium. RNAcentral describes it as "partial 16S ribosomal RNA". It matches the Rfam family "Bacterial small subunit ribosomal RNA", at positions 795 to 1052 of the family's 1533-position model. The record is from RNAcentral.